CCGAGCUCUAGCGGACCAAAGAGCUGGAAGACAAGGAAGUUUCCCGAACUUGGGCCAUCAACUCACCGCCCGGCCUGAGAAGAAAGGGCUGGUCACAAGGGGGCCGCCCCCUGGCCCCUCCCCUCUCGACGUGUGGCCCCCCAGCCCCGGAUUCUGCCCUCCUGCAGUGAUGAAUGGCACCGCUGUCCGGUUUGGUCAGACCUCUUCCUGAAACAGAUUCUACUGGAGGUAACCACAGCGACGGAUUCUAGAGAAAGCCCCUGAAAUGGAGGUUCUGGUCUCACCUGGCUCCAGGCCCGGACUCUGCAGAUAAAAAAAGAUUCAUUGGGGUGGCGGUUGGGGUUGCAGGAAGGGCAACACUCUGGCAAGAAUCCCUCAGGGAACCAUCAAAAAUUGAUCUCUGGGAAUUCAGUGGAGAGAGGAGUAUUAUUCUGGAGUGUGGUGAGAGGAAGCAUAAGGGCUUCAGGCCCUAGAUAGGAGAUCCCAAGCACUUGCUAGCUUUGUGAGCUCAGAUAAAACACCUGAUUUCCCUGAGCCUUAGUUAUGUCAUCUGUUAAACAAAAAAUGGGAAUAAUAAUCCUAACCUGUUAUGAACACUAAAUCAUAGUAUAUAUAAAGUAAAAGUUCCUUAAGUCACCUGUUUCUUUCACAUCUGUUUCUCAGUCCACAUCUUAAAAUCUGCCUAUAGCACAAUGCCUGGUACUUAGAAUACAGAAAAGGAGAACACUGUCUUUCCAAAUUCUCUCAAAGUUAUUGCUCAGUUCACUGAAUUAUCCCUCCUAACCAGUUCAUGUAUAUGAACACACACUUAACAAGUGUACAUGAACAGAUCCCAUAACUGUAUUACUGUGCUAAAUUGUGCUGUGAGAAAUACAGAAUAAAAUGAUUUGUGUCCUCCAGA
Neofelis nebulosa (Clouded leopard) is the source of this 901-nucleotide long non-coding RNA. RefSeq lists it as uncharacterized. The transcript is spliced from 2 exons. NCBI's taxonomy places the organism in Eukaryota, Metazoa, Chordata, Mammalia, Carnivora, Felidae. The record is from RefSeq and is a predicted model, not a curated record.